UUUACUCAACAGGUGGACAUAAACAAGGAGUUCAAUGUAACUGCUAGAGGAACUGGAACAGCCACUCUCUCAGUUCUGACGCUGUACUACGCCAGACCUGCUGAGAAGAAGUCUGACUGUACAUUCUUUGAUCUGACUGUUAAAAUGGAGAAAGACCCUAAAA
Long non-coding RNA from Labeo rohita (rohu), 163 nucleotides. RefSeq lists it as uncharacterized. NCBI's taxonomy places the organism in Eukaryota, Metazoa, Chordata, Actinopteri, Cypriniformes, Cyprinidae. The transcript is spliced from 2 exons. The record is from RefSeq and is a predicted model, not a curated record.